ACUGAGGUCCUUAUCAGAAUAGAAGCACGAGGCCCCGUACUCGUAGGACGCCCGGUUGCAGGCCAGGACCGAGUUGGACUGUUGGUAGAAACAAGAGUUCCACCCACGUACCUAGUCCCUCUCCCCGCGCUUCAGACACCCCUGUCAUCGGAAAACCGCGUGAAGGCAAGCAGACAAUCAGCAGAGGAACCUGGCUGAAUUAAUGGCGGCUCCCAGAAGCUCCUACCCCUCUGACAGCUGUCGCUUGGGCAGCCGGGGAGACGAAUCGUCCUCCUUCCUGGUGCCAGAGGACGCGGAAAUUAGCCAGGUUGC
Long non-coding RNA from Mustela lutreola (European mink), 312 nucleotides. RefSeq lists it as uncharacterized. NCBI's taxonomy places the organism in Eukaryota, Metazoa, Chordata, Mammalia, Carnivora, Mustelidae. The transcript has 3 exons. The record is from RefSeq and is a predicted model, not a curated record.